Molecule: ribosomal RNA, 301 nt
Filed under: uncultured bacterium
Lineage: Bacteria
Description: partial 16S ribosomal RNA
Rfam family: Bacterial small subunit ribosomal RNA
Source: RNAcentral
CAGUCGCCACGGGAAUACGUAGGGCGCAAGCGUUGUCCGGAAUUAUUGGGCGUAAAGCGCACGCAGGCGGUCUGUCAAGUCAGAUGUGAAAUCCCCGGGCUUAACCUGGGAACUGCAUUUGAAACUGGCAGGCUAGAGUCUUGUAGAGGGGGGUAGAAUUCCAGGUGUAGCGGUGAAAUGCGUAGAGAUCUGGAGGAAUACCGGUGGCGAAGGCGGCCCCCUGGACAAAGACUGACGCUCAGGUGCGAAAGCGUGGGGAGCAAACAGGAUUAGAGACCCGUGUAGUCCCUGUCUCUUAUAC